Molecule: ribosomal RNA, 429 nt
Filed under: Bacteroidota bacterium
Lineage: Bacteria; Pseudomonadati; Bacteroidota
Description: Bacteroidetes bacterium partial 16S ribosomal RNA
Rfam family: Bacterial small subunit ribosomal RNA
Source: RNAcentral
UAGGGAAUCUUCGGCAAUGGGGGGAACCCUGACCGAGCAACGCCGCGUGAGUGAAGAAGGUUUUCGGAUCGUAAAGCUCUGUUGUUAAGGAAGAACGAGUGUGAGAAUGGAAAGUUCAUACUGUGACGGUACUUAACCAGAAAGGGACGGCUAACUACGUGCCAGCAGCCGCGGUAAUACGUAGGUCCCGAGCGUUGUCCGGAUUUAUUGGGCGUAAAGCGAGCGCAGGCGGUUAGAUAAGUCUGAAGUUAAAGGCAGUGGCUCAACCAUUGUAGGCUUUGGAAACUGUUUAACUUGAGUGCAGAAGGGGAGAGUGGAAUUCCAUGUGUAGCGGUGAAAUGCGUAGAUAUAUGGAGGAACACCGGUGGCGAAAGCGGCUCUCUGGUCUGUAACUCACGCUGAGGCUCGAAAGCGUGGGGAGCGAACAGG